This 253-nucleotide ribosomal RNA is filed under the name uncultured bacterium. RNAcentral's name for it is "partial 16S ribosomal RNA". It matches the Rfam family "Bacterial small subunit ribosomal RNA", at positions 524 to 776 of the family's 1533-position model. The record is from RNAcentral.
UACAGAGGUCCCAAGCGUUGUUCGGAUUCAUUGGGCGUAAAGGGCGCGCAGGCGGCCCGGAAAGUCGGAUGUGAAAGCUCGAGGCUCAACCUCGAGCGUGCACCCGAUACUGCCGGGCUUGAGGCAGGUAGGGGAGAUCGGAAUUCCUGGUGUAGCGGUGAAAUGCGCAGAUAUCAGGAGGAACACCCGUGGCGAAGGCGGCUCUCUGGAACGCAACUGACGCUGAGACGCGAAAGCGUGGGGAGCAAACAGG